RNAcentral lists this unclassified non-coding RNA (228 nucleotides) under uncultured fungus. Its description in RNAcentral is "sequence contains ITS1, 5.8S rRNA gene". The stretch from base 180 to 228 matches the Rfam family "5.8S ribosomal RNA", at positions 1 to 49 of the family's 154-position model. The record is from RNAcentral. Lineage: Eukaryota; Fungi.
UCUCCGUAGGUGAACCUGCGGAGGGAUCAUUACCGAGUGAGGGUUCCGGCCCGACCUCCAACCCUUUGUGUAUCUCGACCCUGUUGCCUCGGGGGCGACCCGGCCUUCGGGCGUCGGGGCCCCCGGCGGACCACUCAACUCUGCAUCUUUGCGUCCGAGUCGAAAUAUAAAUCAAUCAAAACUUUCAACAACGGAUCUCUUGGUUCUGGCAUCGAUGAAGAACGCAGC